AGUGAACGCUGGCGGCAGGCCUAACACAUGCAAGUCGAACGGCCGCACAGUAAGAUUUCGCUCUUGCGGGUGGCGAGUGGCGGAUGGGUGAGGAAUACAUCGGAUACUUCUUUGUCGGGGGUGAUAACGGAGGAACAGUGAUGCUAAUAGAGCAUAUGUCCUACCGCAUAAAGCAGGCGUGCUUCACGCUCUUGCUGUCAGAUUUAGCCGAAGCCGCACUAGCUAGUGGGCGUGGUAAAGGCUCACCAAGGCGACGAUCCGUAGCUGGUCUGAGAGGAUGAUCGGCCACACUGGAACUGAGACACGGUCCAGACUCCGACGGGAGGCAGCAGUGGGGAAUCUUGCGCAAUGGGCGAAAGCCUGAUCCAGCCACACCGCGUGAGUGAAGAAGGCCUUCGGGUUGUAAAACGCUGUUGUUGGGAAAGAAAAGAAGUAGUUUAAUCGGCGGCUAUCCUGACGGUACCCAAAGAAUAAGCCCCGGCUAACUUCGUG
This 492-nucleotide ribosomal RNA is filed under the name uncultured bacterium. Its description in RNAcentral is "partial 16S ribosomal RNA". It matches the Rfam family "Bacterial small subunit ribosomal RNA", at positions 29 to 507 of the family's 1533-position model. The record is from RNAcentral.